This 274-nucleotide ribosomal RNA is filed under the name uncultured bacterium. Its description in RNAcentral is "partial 16S ribosomal RNA". It matches the Rfam family "Bacterial small subunit ribosomal RNA", at positions 523 to 796 of the family's 1533-position model. The record is from RNAcentral.
AUACGGAGGGUGCAAGCGUUGUUCGGAAUUAUUGGGCGUAAAGCGCGUGUAGGCGGUCUGUUAAGUCUGGUGUGAAAGCCCUGGGCUCAACCCAGGAAGUGCAUUGGAUACUGGCAGACUUGAGUAUGGGAGAGGAAAGCGGAAUUCCGAGUGUAGGAGUGAAAUCCGUAGAUAUUCGGAGGAACACCAGUGGCGAAGGCGGCUUUCUGGACCAAUACUGACGCUGAGACGCGAAAGCGUGGGGAGCAAACAGGAUUAGAAACCCUUGUAGUCC